RNAcentral lists this ribosomal RNA (375 nucleotides) under uncultured organism. RNAcentral describes it as "bacterial SSU rRNA". It matches the Rfam family "Bacterial small subunit ribosomal RNA", at positions 526 to 896 of the family's 1533-position model. The record is from RNAcentral.
CGAGGGGUCCAAGCGUUGCUCGGAAUCAUUGGGCGUAAAGCGAGUGUAGGUGGUCUUUGUAAGUCAGCAGUGAAACGCCCCAGGCUUAACCUGGGAAGUGCUGUUGAUACUGCGAAGCUUGAAUGUGGGAGAGGAUCGUGGAAUUCCAGGUGUAGUGGUGAAAUACGUAGAUAUCUGGAGGAACACCGGUGGCGAAGGCGGCGACUCUGGCCCAACAUUGACACUGAGACUCGAAAGUGCGGGGAUCAAACAGGAUUAGAUACCCUGGUAGUCCGCACCGUAAACGAUGGAUACUUGGUGUUGGAGGUAUUGACCCCUUCAGUGCCGAAGCUAACGCGUUAAGUAUCCCGCCUGGGAAGUACGGCCGCAAGGUUA